Molecule: ribosomal RNA, 403 nt
Filed under: bacterium
Lineage: Bacteria
Description: partial 16S ribosomal RNA
Rfam family: Bacterial small subunit ribosomal RNA
Source: RNAcentral
UGGGGAAUAUUGCACAAUGGGGGAAACCCUGAUGCAGCGACGCCGCGUGAACGAAGAAGGUAUUCGUAUCGUAAAGUUCUGUCCUAUGGGAAGAUAAUGACAGUACCAUAGAAGAAAGCUCCGGCUAAAUACGUGCCAGCAGCCGCGGUAAUACGUAUGGAGCGAGCGUUGUCCGGAAUUAUUGGGCGUAAAGGGUACGCAGGCGGUUUAAUAAGUCGAAUGUUAAAGAUCGGGGCUCAACCCCGUAAAGCAUUGGAAACUGAUAAACUUGAGUAGUGGAGAGGAAAGUGGAAUUCCUAGUGUAGUGGUGAAAUACGUAGAUAUUAGGAGGAAUACCAGUAGCGAAGGCGACUUUCUGGACACAAACUGACGCUGAGGUACGAAAGCGUAGGGAGCAAACAGG